GUGCCAGCAGCCGCGGUAAUACGUAGGGGGCAAGCGUUGUCCGGAAUUAUUGGGCGUAAAGAGCUCGUAGGCGGUCUGUCGCGUCUGUUGUGAAAACUCGAGGCUCAACCUCGGGCUUGCAGUGGAUACGGGCAGACUAGGGUGCGGUAGGGGUGACUGGAAUUCCUGGUGUAGCGGUGGAAUGCGCAGAUAUCAGGAGGAACACCGAUGGCGAAGGCAGGUCACUGGGCCGCAACUGACGCUGAGGUGCGAAAGCGUGGGGAGCAAACAGGAUUAGAAACCCUGGUAGUCC
Molecule: ribosomal RNA, 292 nt
Filed under: uncultured bacterium
Lineage: Bacteria
Description: partial 16S ribosomal RNA
Rfam family: Bacterial small subunit ribosomal RNA
Source: RNAcentral